CCCUUAGAUGUUCUGGGCUGCACGCGCGCUACACUGACAUGUCCAGCGAGCUCCCAACCUGCUCGGCAAAGAAUGGGUACCCUUUUUAACGCAUGUCGUGAUGGGGAUAGAUUAUUGCAAUUGUUGAUCUUGAACGAGGAAUUCCUAGUAAGUGCAAGUCAUUAGCUUGUGCUGAAUACGUCCCUGCCCUUUGUACACACCGCCCGUCGCUCCUACCGAUUGAGUGCUCCGGUGAGGCUUUGGGAUCUGAGCGGAAAGAGCGUUUCGCUGUUUCUGCUCGGAAAACUCAGUCGAACCUUAUCAUUUAGAGGAAGGAGAAGUCGUAACA
RNAcentral lists this ribosomal RNA (328 nucleotides) under uncultured eukaryote. RNAcentral describes it as "partial 18S ribosomal RNA". It matches the Rfam family "Eukaryotic small subunit ribosomal RNA", at positions 1470 to 1796 of the family's 1831-position model. The record is from RNAcentral.